This 6401-nucleotide long non-coding RNA is filed under the name Triticum aestivum (bread wheat). RNAcentral describes it as "long non-coding RNA (TAES_LNC017886)". The record is from RNAcentral. Lineage: Eukaryota; Viridiplantae; Streptophyta; Magnoliopsida; Poales; Poaceae.
GAAAUCAGUAUAAAAUCGUUGUUGUCGGAGUUCCCUUGGAACUGCGCAGAAGAUGGGGUGAUGGAUUCAGUGUCAAGAUUCAAUGAAGAUCCAUCUGUUCGUGGCCUGCUUGUUCACCCACUACUACCACAAGCAAUGUAUUUUACUUUUCUAGAUGCAGCCCUAGAAAGGAAUUAUGUUUGGUUUAGUUCAUAGAAAGAUAUAUCAUAAAAUCCUUUUUGUUUACAUACUAACUGAAUAAUACGAAGUAUUUUAGUUCUCAUGGUAAUAGACAAGCAACUUCAGUAGUAUUUGAUUUGAGUUUUUGUUUUUAAGUAUAUGUUUGCUCAAGAUUCAACUUUCUUUAUGUCCAUGUUUUGCUGGUAUAAUGCAUCAUCAAGCUUUGUUUUAUAUGAUGACAUUGUGUAAAUCAGCAUAUGGAUGAGGAAAGUAUUCUGAGCGCAGAUGCUCGCCGCCGCCACUGCUUCCGACAAUGUGUGAGCCGCCUAAUCGAGCGAGGAUUCGCCGCUCAUCCUAAGAGGACUCGCCGCUCUUCCAUGACGCCGCCGCUGCAACGCGGCGUUGUUCCAGCACCAAAUCGCAGGUUUUUCACGGUGCCUAUUUACUUGCCCUUCGUCUGCAUAGUUGAGCGCAAGCUUCUGGCCUUAAUAUAGACUUUUGAAAACAUUAUAUUUCAUGCCUGCACAUUACUAGAAACAUAAUUACACUGCGUAGAUUUAGCGGAUUUAAAUAAUACUAUUGUCUCAGUAAAAAAAUAUUUUUCAACUUCAAAUUAUAUGCUGGCUUCAGAUUGUUUUCUUAAAAACCAAGAGCUCUUUUGGGGUUUGCAGUAGUGUGGUUUACAAGAGGUAGCCACGGUUCUUCAAAAAUUUGAAGUGUUAGCAAAAGGAGUGGAACAGAUCAAACUGAAGCUAUUUUAUUUGAUAUUAUCUACUUCUACUUGAACUUUGAUGGGAAUCUGAUGUAACCAUCCCGCAAUCUGAAAAUACUGUAUGAUGUGCAGAGAAAAUCUCUGUUUACAUGUAACUGCGCUGAACUCUGCUUAUAUUUCUCUAUGCGCCACAAAGUUCAAGCAGUUGUAACUAGUAUACAAACAUACUUUGCUCACAGUAUAAUCAUCUGAUGCAAUGUGAUAGUUCCAGCAAAAUUUCUUCACCUAUAAAUCAAAUUAUGUUACUUCUCUUUGUGUAAAUCUUGGAUUUCUAGAUCUUAUGAAAAUGACUUUUUAUUUCAGCAAGUGUAAUUUGAAUUUGUAAUCUUUUUAAAUAUAGAUGCAUCUUUGCAAAUCCAACAAAGUGGUGGGAAUAUCUACAACAUGAAGUUUCUCAAGCUGAUAGGGCAUUCUUCUGCAUGUUUGUGACAUGAUCAUGGUGCGCAUAUAUUUAAUAGUGAAGGUCUUCGGCUAUCACUAUGAAUGGUUCUGCUGUUGUGUAAGUGAUUUCUUAAGUGUUGUGUUGUAACACAUUAGAGUAAAAGAUUAAUUGUGUAUGAAGAAUAAUAUUGUGGAGUCAGGCAGAAUUUGACCUUAGUUCUGACCAAAUUAAUCUUUAUUUGUUUGCUAGGUUGUGUGUCAAACAUCACUUCGUGUUGUAGUGCAUUUUUUCCUUUCAGAAUCCACAUUAUGCAAUUUGGCUUUAUAAGAAGUUUCACUUUAUUAUUAGUGGAGAACGGGAGAUAAGGAAAGGGAAGGGAAAAACAGUAAUUCUAGCAACUAGCCAUUGUUCCAUGGCAAAACACAGGUGUUUGUUCUAUUAUGUUCAUCGGAAGUCUUUACGGAGGAGUUGGGUCUGGGUGAGUGACAUAGAUUUGCUUGAGAUCACGAAUUCUUUUCUGCUGUUACUUGCAUCUUACUUGAAUUUUUUUUCUUCAAGUUCUUCAUGUUUUCCCAUAUCGUCUGCUCUAUAGAAGCUGCUACCUCAAAUUAAGUAAGUGCAUCCUUCUUUUUUGUCCAAGUUUGUUCUAUUCUAUUACUCAGAAGUCUGUACAAGACUGAGAGAGUGAAGCAUAUUUGCUUGAGAUUUGAAUUAUUUUUUGAUGUCAGGUUUGUAUGUUGUACUGUUUGAUUAAUGAAAACUGAUAAAAGUAGUGGCAAACACUUGAUUGAGUAAGCUACUGGAUUUUACCAGUCAUACACACUUGUUUCUUGCAAUAUUAUCUGCAUGACAAGAAACACACAUAUUUGAUUUUGCUCUGUGAUUGGUUCAAAUAUCACUUUUUUGGCUAAAGCUGAUUGGAUACGAGUAGUAGUGUCAACAGUAAUAACUUGAAACAUGAUUUUAUCAUGGCUCUAAAUUUUAUUGCUGAUGAUUUCUUUCAGGAUAUUUGUAGAGGCUAUUUGCACCGUAGUUCAAGGUAGAUGAUAGAGUACAGGCUAGGCAACUCACUUAUAUUGGUACUCGUUUAAAUGGUUAUCUAUUCUGCCGGCAUAGUUACAUGCCAUAUUAAUUUCAGAAGAACAAUUUCUAAUCUAGUGUUGUGCUUGCAUGCAUUGUUAUGUCUAAAAAGAAACGCAGACGCCUCGCCGCUCGAUAAAAAGAAAAAAAAGGAAAGGAAACAGCCCACGACCGCACACCUCAUCUCCCACUAACCUCACAAUCCCAUCUCGAACUCCACCGCGCCUCCACUCCCGCCCCGCCCCAUCUUACCGAUGCGUUCGAGCAGGGCGCCGCCGCCGCGCGUGGCCGCGCGGCCAGUUUUCUUCUCUGUCUAUCCGUUCUGGGGGCGCUCGACAUUGCCGUGCCGCCGAUCUGCCGGCUUCUCCGGAACUCCGUUUGUCAGCAUCUUCUCCACCCCUUGGUGAUGAGCGGCUAAGCCAAGGAGCGGAGUCAGGCGCCGCCGCGCGUACAUGCCGCGUUCGUGCGAGAGUGGGGACGGUCUGACAAGGGAUGCAGACUUGGUUGGGGAACAAGAGCACGCGAAGCUAGGAGCAGGGGCCGAUCGAUGGGCAGCGCGAGGACCUCCUACUGGUUCUACAUGUUCCUCUCUCUGCCUAUCCAUUACAAGCACAGAGGUGAACUCAUGGUUGUAUUGAUAGGUGAUUUAAAGUGCGUGGUUGUGAGGAAAUCAGUAUAAAAUCGUCGUUGUCGGAGUUCCCUUGGAACUGCGCAGAAGAUGGGGUGAUGGAUUCAGUGUCAAGAUUCAAUGAAGAUCCAUCUGUUCGUGGCCUGCUUGUUCACCCACUACUACCACAAGCAAUGUAUUUUACUUUUCUGGAUGCAGCCCUAGAAAGGAAUUAUGUUUGGUUUAGUUCAUAGAAAGAUAUAUCAUAAAAUCCUUUUUGUUUACAUACUAACUGAAUAAUACGAAGUAUUUUAGUUCUCAUGGUAAUAGACAAGCAACUUCAGUAGUAUUUGAUUUGAGUUUUUGUUUUUAAGUAUAUGUUUGCUCAAGAUUCAACUUUCUUUAUGUCCAUGUUUUGCUGGUAUAAUGCAUCAUCAAGCUUUGUUUUAUAUGAUGACAUUGUGUAAAUCAGCAUAUGGAUGAGGAAAGUAUUCUGAGCGCAGAUGCUCACCGCCGCCACUGCUUCCGACAAUGUGUGAGCCGCCUAAUCGAGCGAGGAUUCUCCGCUCAUCCUAAGAGGACUCGCCGCUCUUCCAUGACGUCGCCGCUGCAACGCGGCGUUGUUCCAGCACCAAAUCGCAGGUUUUUGCCGGUGCCUAUUUACUUGCCCUUCAUCUGCAUAGUUGAGCGCAAGCUUCUGGCCUUAAUAUAGCCUUUUGAAAACAUUAUAUUUCAUGCCUGCACAUUACUAGAAACAUAAUUACACUGCGUAGAUUUAGCGGAUUUAAAUAAUACUAUUGUCUCAGUAAAAAAAUAUUUUUCAACUUCAAAUUAUAUGCUGGCUUCAGAUUGUUUUCUUAAAAACCAAGAGCUCUUUUAGGGUUUGCAGUAGUGUGGUUUAAAGAGGUAGCCACGGUUCUUCAAAAAUUUGAAGUGUUAGCAAAAGGAGUGGAACAGAUCAAACUGAAGCUAUUUUAUUUAAUAUUAUCUACUUCUACUUGAACUUUGAUGGGAAUCUGAUGUAACCAUCCCGCAAUCUGAAAAUAAUGUAUGAUGUGCAGAGAAAAUCUCUGUUUACAUGUAACCGCGCUGAACUCUGCUUAUAUUUCUCUAUGCGCCGCAAAGUUCAAGCAGUUGUAACUAGUAUACAAACAUACUUUGCUCACAGUAUAAUCAUCUGAUGCAAUGUGAUAGUUCCAGCAAAAUUUCUUCACCUAUAAAUCAAAUUAUGUUACUUCUCUUUGUGUAAAUCUUGGAUUUCUAGAUCUUAUGAAAAUGACUUCUUAUUUCAGCAAGUGUAAUUUGAAUUUGUAAUCUUUUUAAAUAUAGAUGCAUCUUUGCAAAUCCAACAAAGUGGUGGGAAUAUCUACAACAUGAAGUUUCUCAAGCUGAUAGGGCAUUCUUCUGCAUGUUUGUGACAUGAUCAUGGUGCACAUAUAUUUAAUAGUGAAGGUCUUCGACUAUCACUAUGAAUGGUUCUGCUGUUGUGUAAGUGAUUUCUUAAGUGUUGUGUUGUAACACAUUAGAGUAAAAGAUUAAUUGUGUAUGAAGAAUAAUAUUGCGGAGUCAGGCAGAAUUUGACCUUAGUUCUGACCAAAUUAAUCUUUAUUUGUUUGCUAGGUUGUGUGUCAAACAUCACUUCGUGUUGUAGUGCAUUUUUUCCUUUCAGAAUCCACAUUAUGCAAUUUGGCUUUAUAAGAAGUUUCACUUUAUUAUUAGUGGAGAACGGGAGAUAAGGAAAGGGAAGGGAAAAACAGUAAUUCUAGCAACUAGCCAUUGUUCCAUGGCAAAACACAGGUGUUUGUUCUAUUAUGUUCAUCAGAAGUCUUUACGGAGGAGUUGGGUCUGGGUGAGUGACAUAGAUUUGCUUGAGAUCAUGAAUUCUUUUCUGCUGUUACUUGCAUCUUACUUGAAUUUUUUUUCUUCAAGUUCUUCAUGUUUUCCCAUAUCGUCUGCUCUAUAGAAGCUGCUACCUCAAAUUAAGUAAGUGCAUCCUUCUUUUUUGUCCAAGUUUGUUCUAUUCUAUUACUCAGAAGUCUGUACAAGACUGAGAGAGUGAAGCAUAUUUGCUUGAGAUUUGAAUUAUUUUUUGAUGUCAGGUUUGUAUGCUGUACUGUUUGAUUAAUGAAAACUGAUAAAAGUAGUGGCAAACACUUGAUUGAGUAAGCUACUGGAUUUUACCAGUCAUACACAGUUGUUUCUUGCAAUAUUAUCUGCAUGACAAGAAACACCCAUAUUUGAUUUUGCUCUGUGAUUGGUUCAAAUAUCACUUUUUGGGCUAAAGCAGAUUGGAUACGAGUAGUAGUGUCAACAAUAAUAACUUGAAACAUGAUUUUAUCAUGGCUCUAAAUUUUAUUGCUGAUGAUUUCGUUCAGGAUAUUUGUAGAGGCUAUUUGCACCGUAGUUCAAGGCAGAUGAUAGAGUACAGGCUAGGCAACUCACUUAUAUUGGUACUCGUUUAAAUGGUUAUCUAUUCUGCCGGCAUAGUUACAUGCCUUAUUAUUUUCAGAAGAACAAUUUCUAAUCUAGUGUUGUGCUUGCAUGCAUUGUUAUGUCUAAAAAGAAAGCAGACGCCUCGCCGCUCGAUAAAAAGAAAAAAAAGAAAGGAAACAGCCCACGACCGCACACCUCAUCUCCCACUAACCUCACAAUCCCAUCUCGAACUCCACCGCGCCUCCACUCCCGCCCCGCCCCAUCUUACCGAUGCGUUCGAGCAGGGCGCCGCCGCCGCGCGUGGCCGCGCGGCCAGUUUUCUUCUCUGUCUAUCCGUUCUGGGGGCGCUCGACAUCGCUGUGCCGCCGAUCUGCCGGCUUCUCCGGAACUCCAUUUGUCAGCAUCUUCUCCACCCCUUGGUGAUGAGCGGCUGAGCCAAGGAGCGGAGUCAGGCGCCGCCGCGCGUACAUGCCGCGUUCGUGCGAGAGUGGGUACGGUCUGACAGGGGAUGCAGACUUGGUUGGGGAACAAGAGCACGCGAAGCUAGGAGCAGGGGCCGAUCGAUGGGCAGCGCGAGGACCUCCUACUGGUUCUACAUGUUCCUCUCUCUGCCUAUCCAUUACAAGCAUAGAGGUGAACUCAUGAUUGUAUUGAUAGGUGAUUUAAAGUGCGUGGUUGUGAGGAAAUCAGUAUAAAAUCGUUGUUGUCGGAGUUCCCUUGGAACUGCGCAGAAGAUGGGGUGAUGGAUUCAGUGUCAAGAUUCAAUGAAGAUCCAUAUGUUCGUGGCCUGCUUGUUCACCCACUACUACCACAAGCAAUGUAUUUUACUUUUCUGGAUGCAGCCCUAGAAAGGAAUUAUGUUUGGUUUAGUUCAUAGAAAGAUAUAUCAUAAAAUCCUUUUUGUUUACAUACUAACUGAAUAAUACGAAGUAUUUUAGUUCUCAUGGUAAUAGACAAGCAACUUCAGU